GGGGAGAGGGGAGUUCCCAAAAUGCAUUAGAUAAGGGUAGAAUCAGGAUGGAAUGUGAGUUUUGGGCAGAAUGAGUGGAUGGAUGAUGGUGCCCUUGAACAGCAAUUCCCCAUUAUUUUUUUCCAUCACUUGCAACAAGGAGGUCAUAGUCAAGGAAUAUUUUCCAAGAUAACAGGCGAAUGGAACGAGGGUAGUAAAGGUUUCAAGGAAUCUCAAUGAUUGGAGAUUAACGAAUAUGAAUCACUUCUCUUGGCCCUAUCAAGUGUGUCCCCAAUGAGGCUGAGGAUGUUUCACUUUGGUACCUUAACUGUAAGGGGAUCUUCUUUGUAAAAUCUUUCUACUCUCACUUGGCUAAGAGAGGGGGAACAUAGGAAGAGAUCCCUUCUAGAAAAAAUUGGAAGGUUAAUACAUCAUAUAGGGCCACAUUUUUUGCUUAAAUAGCGGCAAGAAAAUGUAUUUUAAC
RNAcentral lists this long non-coding RNA (463 nucleotides) under Carica papaya (papaya). RNAcentral describes it as "long non-coding RNA (CPAP_LNC008572)". The record is from RNAcentral. Lineage: Eukaryota; Viridiplantae; Streptophyta; Magnoliopsida; Brassicales; Caricaceae.